CGUCAAAUCAUCAUGCCCCUUAUGACCUGGGCUACACACGUACUACAAUGGCCGUUAACAGAGGGAAGCAAUACAGUGAUGUGGAGCAAACCCCUAAAAACGGUCUCAGUUCAGAUUGCAGGCUGCAACUCGCCUGCAUGAAGUCGGAAUUGCUAGUAAUCGCGGAUCAGCAUGCCGCGGUGAAUACGUUCCCGGGCCUU
This 200-nucleotide ribosomal RNA is filed under the name uncultured prokaryote. RNAcentral's name for it is "partial 16S ribosomal RNA". It matches the Rfam family "Bacterial small subunit ribosomal RNA", at positions 1183 to 1382 of the family's 1533-position model. The record is from RNAcentral.